UAAUUUCUGUCAUUUAUUCACGUCAUAAUCCCCAAAGCUACCUUUAUUCCACGACUCUUUCCACCAUUUUCCUACAGUCAGCUUUUUUUAAGGCUAUAGCCUUUAAAAACUUGAAACAGAAAAUUUUAAGGAUGCAACCAUUAGAAAAUGUUCCCAUACUACCAUUUAACAUUCCCCAUUUAUCAUUAUGUUUACUAUCGUGUAAUUUCCAACAUAAUAUUAUGAGGUCAAAGGCUCUACGAACGCCGUUUUACAAUCUACCUAGGGAGGCAAUGGCUGUGAAACACACCACACCAAUGACAGGAAUGCGGGUCACUGUGACACAACGGAUCCCUCUGCAAAGUCAAAGCUAAGAGUUCACUUUACGCUGACGGAGCUUCUUUCCAGGACCCCCACCCCCACCCAAGGACAGGAGAGUGUCGAUUUCCCAAGGUGUCUGGCACUGCUUCUUGAAAACGCAGCUCUCAUCUGGUUCCUGGAAGGUCAUACUGGUUCGCGCAGGGCUCGGGACGGGGCGCUUGGCUUCUGAGGCACCCGCGCUGGCUCCUCACCCGGUGACCUUCAGGCCUCUGCGCUUGGCCUGACCCUAGAAGGGCCACCGCCCUUCACAGCGGGCGGGCACCGUCCCUCCCACGGCCCCGCCGACUGCUGACGCGGUGGCCCCAAGGGUCCAGGCCCGCACUUGCCCCACUCCCGCGGCGCCGUCCCCCAUAGUCGGUCCCCGAGGGCCGCGCCCAGCUCCUGCUCGGAUUUCAGCCCGCACCGCACCCCAGCCGCCAGGGAACCUUCCAGAACCCUGCCCCUCUGGCUUUCUCCCGAAAGCCCAGGGUCGCCGUCCAGGAAGAAACUUCGAUUCAUUUAUUGAGCGCCGACUGUGUCCAAGGCCGAGGGAGGGGCGGGGUUUCCACGCGGGGAGACCCCCUAGGUUCUCGCCUCGGUAAGCGCCCGCGUUCCAGCACCUCGAGUCGCCCGCGGGCCCCCACCCCUCGGGCCGGGCCCGGUCCUCGAGGAAAACCCACGGCGGGGCAGGAAGGAACGAGGAGAGCCACGCUCCUUGCCCGCCUCGUCCCCUCCACUCCCCUUCACCUCACGGGACCCCAGGGAAGCCGCCGGAGCUAAAAUUAGCAACCCGCGCAGCGCGCGCUCACGUGCGCGCGGCCCGGCGGGGGCGGGGAGCAAGGGGCGCGGUCCGGGUGAGUCACCGGCCCCGCCCCACUCGCCAAGAACGCGCUGACGUCAGCCGCUUCCCCGAAGGGUGACGUAAGCGCGCCACGGGGAGGCCGAGGCAGCUGAUAGAAUGUUCUGAGUUUCGAUGCCUUAAAGGGACCAGGCCUGGGAUCGUGAAACAUCUGGGGAAACGACUCCACUCACUCACCUGCAGACUGAGAGCCCAUCUUGUACCGUGUUAUACUUUAAGAGAGUUGACUGUUGAGAUGAUGAUGAAAACGGAAGAACAACUGAGCCUAGUUGGAGGCUCUUUGAAGUCCCAGAACCUCCUCCUGGAAGCCCUCUUUGGUUAACCAGAUGGACAUCUCAGUUGCCCUCUGAGCCUGAACCAAGUGUCAGGAAGAGUUUUCUAUGGCCCUUGACUCCUUAACUCUUUGCUUAUAGCGUCUCUGCUCUCUGAUGCCUCUGCUGUCAGAGAAAGGCUGUGGUUUAAAUAUUUAUUUAUGAAUCCAUCAGCUUGGGCCAACUAGGUCCAUUUAUCACCGUUUUGACUGUGUCUAAACUGUCAUUAGUGGUGUGACUAGAAACCAGUUAAUUUCGCUGGGUGGUAAAUUCGUGGACUGAUCUCCAAACCCUCCUACUGUGCUAAUGUUGCCAAUGGAAGUUUCCAGAGGCCAGGAUCCCUGGCCAACACGUGAUCGUAAACAACAUCAGGGCCUCACAGGGAACUCA
This 1899-nucleotide long non-coding RNA is filed under the name Homo sapiens (human). RNAcentral describes it as "non-protein coding lnc-ATF3-1:1". The record is from RNAcentral. Lineage: Eukaryota; Metazoa; Chordata; Mammalia; Primates; Hominidae.